GUUAUGUAAUCUGGUUUAUUUUGAAAGUAGGAGAUAAUAUUAUGGAUAGAAAUGAGAGUCGGGCUACUAUAUUUUUAUGAGUAUUGGCUUUUUUAUAUUUAUAAAUUUUCGGUCCUUAGAUUUAUUUCAUUGAUCAUUUCUACCCGUUAGAUCAUAGUAUUCAACCAACUACUCGCUCAAGGGGGUCUAUACUCAUAAUAGUAUGUAGCCCCAGCCUAGAAAUG
RNAcentral lists this long non-coding RNA (224 nucleotides) under Ananas comosus (pineapple). Its description in RNAcentral is "long non-coding RNA (ACOM_LNC032990)". The record is from RNAcentral. Lineage: Eukaryota; Viridiplantae; Streptophyta; Magnoliopsida; Poales; Bromeliaceae.